Molecule: ribosomal RNA, 447 nt
Filed under: uncultured bacterium
Lineage: Bacteria
Description: bacterial SSU rRNA
Rfam family: Bacterial small subunit ribosomal RNA
Source: RNAcentral
UCGAACGGAAAGGCCCUGCUUGCAGGGUACUCGAGUGGCGAACGGGUGAGUAACACGUGGGUGAUCUGCCCUGCACUUCGGGAUAAGCCUGGGAAACUGGGUCUAAUACCGGAUAGGACCAUUGGUUGGUACUGGUGGUGGAAAGUUUUUCGGUGCAGGAUGAGCUCGCGGCCUAUCAGCUUGUUGGUGGGGUAAUGGCCUACCAAGGCGGCGACGGGUAGCCGGCCUGAGAGGGUGGACGGCCACAUUGGGACUGAGACACGGCCCAAACUCCUACGGGAGGCAGCAGUAGGGAAUCUUCCGCAAUGGACGAAAGUCUGACGGAGCAACGCCGCGUGAGUGAAGAAGGCCUUCGGGUCGUAAAACUCUGUUGCCGGGGAAGAACAAGUGCCGUUCGAACAGGGCGGCGCCUUGACGGUACCCGGCCAGAAAGCCACGGCUAACUAC